This 783-nucleotide long non-coding RNA is filed under the name Dromaius novaehollandiae (emu). RNAcentral's name for it is "lncRNA (ENSDNVG00000014045.1)". The record is from RNAcentral. Lineage: Eukaryota; Metazoa; Chordata; Aves; Casuariiformes; Dromaiidae.
CGUGCCUUUUCUCCCGUACAGGCAGAAGGCGUCAGGCGGAAGGCUGUUCUCGGAGCACUCCUGGUGUCCGAUGCUGACAGCCGGCUGGUCCCCCAUCCCUCUCGGAAAGCUCUGGCUUUUGUGGUGGAAUCCGUCUUGCAGGUGACCCAGCGUAGGGGAAAGAACCAGGAGACCCAUCCUGAGCGGAGYUGUGGAGACCGAAAGCAUCCUGAGGAGAAACGUAGGGGAGUGGCAGGUAGCACGUACCCCUGCAUCUAGUGCACUGUGCUAGUGCUCUUCCUCGCCUCUGCUCUCUCCUUGCUGGCAGAAGCAGUCCYGGGCACGGUGGGUUUUAUUUGAGGGUGGAUAUUUUUUUACCAGAGGAAGAAGGGACAUUUCCUUUGCUCACUAGCACUGAAGGAAAGUGCCUGCUCCUGACCUUGCUGCAGGUGCCUGUUGAAGCUUCUUUGUGUCUGUUUCUAACUUUUGCACAGGUCUUAGGAAAGCAAAUAAAAGAAAURUUGAAAAUCUGGAAUUUCAGUCCCCCAGUGAACUGCCCUGGAGUCCAUCUACUGAGGUAUUAUGUGACCAGGAGCCACAGCUAGUUCUUCAUCCAGACUUGAAGGCUACUGGAAGCCUGAAGGUGACUGGACCCCAGGUGAGGAGCCGCUAUCCACUGCCAUCGUGGGACCGGCUGUCCCAGGACCUGUACACGGACAACAGCAUCCAAGAAGCCUUUGAUCAGCUGCGGGCUUUGCUGGAGGCCUGUUUCCUGACCCUUCUUAGGCCCUAUCUGCGUGGAUG